RNAcentral lists this transfer RNA (67 nucleotides) under Ectoneura hanitschi. Its description in RNAcentral is "tRNA-Asn". The record is from RNAcentral. Lineage: Eukaryota; Metazoa; Arthropoda; Insecta; Blattodea; Ectobiidae.
UUAACUGAAACCAAAUCAGAGGUAUAUUACUGUUAAUAAUAUAAUUGAAUAAUUUAUUCCAGUUAAG